Molecule: antisense RNA, 75 nt
Filed under: Streptomyces mutabilis
Lineage: Bacteria; Bacillati; Actinomycetota; Actinomycetes; Kitasatosporales; Streptomycetaceae
Description: Aspks sRNA
Rfam family: ASpks TB sRNA
Source: RNAcentral
CUUCACGGAGCCGAGCAGCAGCGGCCGCUCCGGGUCGCGGUCCCGGCCGUAGGUCCCGAACAGCGCCUGCGCCUC